GCAUCAUUCAAGGUUCCGGGAUCAGAAAGUUGAGAGGAAUCAUCAGAUAAAGGUGAUCCAUGUAUGACGCCGGGUGUUGCAAGAGGGCUGCUGGUCGAGACUCUCCCAUCCCGAGCUAUGGACUGACUGUCACCCCCCACUCUCAAUAAAGGAGCAAUAGGAGAUGGAACUCUACUUCCAUGUGAAAUACUGUGAGUCGGGGUUGUAUACCCACUACCAGAACUCUUGACCGCAAAAGAAGGCAAGGAAGUUAGCAAAGAAUUAGCCUGAGGCUUCCAAUAUGCAGCGGCUACUGACUUCAGAUGCUUGUUAUGUCCAAAGGCAAAACGUGCCAAAGCUACAGCAACCUCCACUCGAACCAAAGGGCUUCCAUCAGAAGCAACACUUAAAAGGCUCUUAAUUAUACUGACU
Molecule: unclassified non-coding RNA, 411 nt
Filed under: Hevea brasiliensis (rubber tree)
Lineage: Eukaryota; Viridiplantae; Streptophyta; Magnoliopsida; Malpighiales; Euphorbiaceae
Source: RNAcentral